GAGUUUCAAUUUUUGCCACAUUUCGCCCCCGCGCACGCUUCCACUUUGGGACAUCCAACUUUAAAGUGUAAUCCCUCGGAGCUGUCUGCGAAGCGCCAAAAGUCCUAGGACCCACACAUUUGCAAUGCAUCUCCAAAGGCCACGAAGGGAGGGGUGCUGGGCUGCUUCUAUGUGGCAGAGGGAUAAUCGUAUCGUUCGAUGGUCGUCGUAUAAUAAAUAUCGUAUAGGAGAGGUGUUUGUCGGUGCUCAACCGAUCAGAGAACGAAAAUGGAGUGGAUUCCGAGGAUGAUGAGGAAGGAAGACACCCCUGAGAAUGAAUCUAAUGACAGCGAGAGCGCCAUAUUUCCGAGAGAAAUAUGUACAGAUAGUCCGCCCUUUCUACAUGAAUUCAAAAGAAAUGUCAUCCUUUCAUCAUGGACUAUAUUCGUAGUUCUUCAAGCAUAUUUCUUAAGUAAACCAAGAUCUACCACAAAUGACAGUUUCCAUGGAUUUUCUCAGGUCUUUGGAAUCACUUAAGAUUCUCCAUUAUUCUGGAAUAUUUCUACCGGAUCACCACUAUAUCAUCACCGAAAGGAAGGAUUCCUUGAUACGUUGUCUAGAGAAAUUCAGUGGAUAUGAAAGGCAAUGUGCACAAUUAUUCUCACCUCUGGCUCUCCGAGAAGGAGACGUCCCAUUAAGAAGUCUGCGAAUGAAUAUUCCUUGCCAGAGAACAGCAGCAUCCUUUCGUUUGAAUAAACCAAUUACGAUCUGUGCUCGUUCUCACUGGCAAUCACCUCCUUGCCGCUGUCCUGUCCUGUCCCAUUGCUGAUUGGCAUUCCAUUAUCUGCAUCUUCACGAGAAGCUUCUUCAUUAUUCCAUCAUCAUCAUCAUCAUCGAAAGGAGCUGCAGGAGCUGCACGAGGAGCUACUGCUUCAGUGGCAGUAACAGCUGCCACUGCAGGAUCCUUCAUUAUGUUGAUUCGUGAGGAAGGACGAGAGCGACUAAGAGGACGAGAGCGAGUGCGAGUGCGAGUGCUGCGUAUUUGGUUAAAUUGUUGAAGGUCGCCCGAAGGCAGCAGCACUUUUGUGGGUCUGCCUGCCCGUGGGUCUGCCUGCCAAGUCUCAUGUGCAUAAUUCAAGUUGUUGCACAUGCCACACACACACAUACACACACACACACACAUGUGAGACACUCGAGCGGCACGACGAGCCCUGUCGACUGUCGACUGCUAAGUGUCCUUUGGCAGGCGCAAGAUGAAAGCAAAAGGCGGCUGAAAUUAAAUUAAAAUGAAAUGCAUGCAAAGUGCCACAGCGGCAGCGACAACGACAUGGUCCCGCGUCCCGAGUCCCGUAUCCCGACUCCCAGCUCCCAGCUCCCGAGUCCUCUUUUAGUCCUCGUCAUCGGUGUGUCCUGAGUGUGUACUUUAAGCUUGCAAUUAAAUUGCAGGACGAGCCGCACCGCUGCCACUGCCGCCGCACGGGAAUUGCGCAGGCUCUCCGAUAGCGAGGAGUUGGAGAUCCCUGCCGCCCAGAGGGUGGGGCAGAGGGCAUGUCCAAUGCAUAUGCAUUGCAAUUAAGCAAUCAAUGGCAUAAUUAUCGACACAUGAGAGUCACCCGAUUUAUUAACACGCCUGCCCCGAGGCGCUGCUGCAACAGCAACAGCAACAGAACAGCAAUCGACAAUCGAUUGGCAACUUGUUCAAUUUAAAUGCUCAAACAAACAAAGGAGACCAGACACAGACACCGGAGAGGCGGGGGGCUGGCAGUGUGGGGAGAGUGGUUUUCGGGCAUACAGCCGGAGCCGGAGUGGGGGGUUAACCAAGAAGCCAUUUGCAGACCAGAUCCAGAUCCUGUGCCAAUCAGCAGCCGCAAGCCACACAAAAACUGUCGCGACACCGAAAUGGCGGCCAAAGAAGUGUUUCGUUUUACAGACUGUAAGCGCAUUUUAUGGAACUUUUGUCCUAAUAUGAAGGAAGAGACAUUUGUAAUGGAAAACGAUGCAAGAUCUACAAUGUUCAAAGGAACAUUGGCGGCUGAAACAGGAACUACAGGCACACAGGAACUACAGGAACUACAGGAACUUAAAGACGAAGGACAGGAAUAGUUCGAUGCUUCAGCAAAUAAGAUGUCUAUCAUAUAUUAUUGUGGAAAAAAACACGUCGGUGUUUGAUUUUGAACAGACAGAUAGAAGGAAACAUUUCCGAACCCAUGAGGUACACAGUAGUAGCCGGGCUCCCUCCGGCGGCUGUACCUGUUUGGGUGGUGCCGGAUCGGUACUGCAUCCACGAUCGCAUGCAUCGUGCUUCGCAGGUGCAGACAUUACCGACAUCGUCUUCCCUCCUGCACCUCCUGCUUUACCUUGAAGGCUUUGACCGGCUUAUUGGCCGAGACCCUUUAUGGCAACAACCGCGAUAUCCUCCUCUUACCCCGCCAGAUCGCACCUUCCGGAGGACAUGAAUAGCUCUUGUUUACGAAGGGCCUAAGCCUGACGACAGUCCACUCCAUGCGAGCGGCUGACAUCGGAUUUGCAUAAAAUUACAAUACUGGUUUUUUCUGUAGGCCAUAUCUCUGGUAUCCGGCAGCCGAUCUGGGCGCGGCAUGUCUCUCCGUGCUCGGGAGAGUCCUACCAAUCGACUGUCACCCUAAAAAGGGACAUCAAUUUUCUCACUAUUUUCGUAAAAAAUCAUGAUGGUUACA
This 2675-nucleotide small RNA is filed under the name Drosophila pseudoobscura pseudoobscura. RNAcentral's name for it is "GA31656". The record is from RNAcentral. Lineage: Eukaryota; Metazoa; Arthropoda; Insecta; Diptera; Drosophilidae.